CGGGAUGUAGCUCAGUUUGGUAGAGCACCACGUUCGGGACGUGGGGGUCGCAGGUUCAAAUCCUGUCAUCCCGAUCA
This 77-nucleotide transfer RNA is filed under the name Ligilactobacillus animalis. Its description in RNAcentral is "Lactobacillus animalis tRNA-Pro". It matches the Rfam family "tRNA". Rfam says of the family: Transfer RNA (tRNA) molecules are approximately 80 nucleotides in length. Lineage: Bacteria; Bacillati; Bacillota; Bacilli; Lactobacillales; Lactobacillaceae. The record is from RNAcentral.